This 23-nucleotide microRNA is filed under the name Homo sapiens (human). RNAcentral describes it as "hsa-miR-7156-5p". The record is from miRBase by way of RNAcentral. Lineage: Eukaryota; Metazoa; Chordata; Mammalia; Primates; Hominidae.
UUGUUCUCAAACUGGCUGUCAGA